Molecule: ribosomal RNA, 254 nt
Filed under: uncultured bacterium
Lineage: Bacteria
Description: partial 16S ribosomal RNA
Rfam family: Bacterial small subunit ribosomal RNA
Source: RNAcentral
AACGUAGGACGCAAGCGUUAUCCGGAGUUACUGGGCGUAAAGGGCAGGCAGGCGGGUCGAUAAGUCGGAUGUGAAAUCUCCCUGGCUUAACCGGGAGAGUGCAUUUGAGACUGUCAACCUGGAGGGCAGCAGAGGAGCGUGGAAUUCCGGGUGGAGUGGUGAAAUGCGUAGAGAUUGGGAAGAACACCAGUGGCGAAGGCGGCUAUCUGGACGGUUUCUGACACUAAGACUCGAAAGCGUGGGGAGCAAACAGG